This is a long non-coding RNA of Penaeus indicus, 695 nucleotides long. RefSeq lists it as uncharacterized. The transcript is spliced from 6 exons. NCBI's taxonomy places the organism in Eukaryota, Metazoa, Arthropoda, Malacostraca, Decapoda, Penaeidae. The record is from RefSeq and is a predicted model, not a curated record.
GAAAAUGAUCAAAGCCUUGACCUUCUUGGCUGCAGUAGCCGUAGUUUCUGCCUCUCCGUCACACUUCUUGAUAAAUGCAUCGUGUGAGGGAGCUGAAAAUGUGACUUCGUGUGAGGAUGAUCUGAAAGUCUGCAAGAACAUCUUCGCAGUUGAACAUGAUGAACAAAUUAGGAGAGAAAUAUACAGGAAAUGCCUCGACAAUAACGGUUUUAACCAUCUUAAUGACGUGGACCCUGAGUUCCUCUUCAGUUCCACAGACCCGCAAGUUCUAUCGCUCUUUGGUUCCGAGGAGAACCACGUAGCACUUAAGCAGUGCAUCCUGCAGGAGCGUGGAGAGUUAAGGCCUAACGGAACAGUCGACCCACAGCCAUUCUUGGACAGGCUAACACCCGCCCUUAACGACACCCGCCCUGACCUCCUCGACCGCCUUGUUUAUGGUACAGAGUCCUGCUCGACUGAAAGCAUUAAGGAAUGGGAGGUCUGCAUCUUCUAUACAUGCUUCGAGGGGGAAUUCACACCAACUGAGCCUACUACAACUGUUGUUCCUGAGGAGUAAUCAUGUGAAAUAUUUUCAUACUUCAUUUGAAAUCUUCAAGUCUCAACAAUGUAAAUUAAUUGAAUAAUGAUUAUGAAAGAUUUGGUAUUACUUUUUUUUUACGUGUUUCCUGAAGUUCUGUUCAUAAAAAUAAAAUCUA